Molecule: ribosomal RNA, 647 nt
Filed under: uncultured bacterium
Lineage: Bacteria
Description: bacterial SSU rRNA
Rfam family: Bacterial small subunit ribosomal RNA
Source: RNAcentral
CUUGCUCUCUGGGUGACGAGCGGCGGACGGGUGAGUAAUGUCUGGGAAACUGCCUGAUGGAGGGGGAUAACUACUGGAAACGGUAGCUAAUACCGCAUAACGUCUUCGGACCAAAGUGGGGGACCUUCGGGCCUCACGCCAUCAGAUGUGCCCAGAUGGGAUUAGCUAGUAGGUGGGGUAAUGGCUCACCUAGGCGACGAUCCCUAGCUGGUCUGAGAGGAUGACCAGCCACACUGGAACUGAGACACGGUCCAGACUCCUACGGGAGGCAGCAGUGGGGAAUAUUGCACAAUGGGCGCAAGCCUGAUGCAGCCAUGCCGCGUGUGUGAAGAAGGCCUUCGGGUUGUAAAGCACUUUCAGCGAGGAGGAAGGGUGGUGUGUUAAUAGCGCAUCACAUUGACGUUACUCGCAGAAGAAGCACCGGCUAACUCCGUGCCAGCAGCCGCGGUAAUACGGAGGGUGCAAGCGUUAAUCGGAAUUACUGGGCGUAAAGCGCACGCAGGCGGUUUGUUAAGUCAGAUGUGAAAUCCCCGCGCUUAACGUGGGAACUGCAUUUGAAACUGGCAAGCUAGAGUCUUGUAGAGGGGGGUAGAAUUCCAGGUGUAGCGGUGAAAUGCGUAGAGAUCUGGAGGAAUACCGGUGGCGAA